RNAcentral lists this ribosomal RNA (308 nucleotides) under Oxyrrhis marina. RNAcentral describes it as "partial Bacterial large subunit ribosomal RNA". It matches the Rfam family "Bacterial large subunit ribosomal RNA", at positions 2002 to 2308 of the family's 2925-position model. The record is from RNAcentral. Lineage: Eukaryota; Dinophyceae; Oxyrrhinales; Oxyrrhinaceae.
UAACGACUUCCCCACUGUCUCCAGCAUCGACUCAGUGAAAUUGAAUUGCCCGUGAAGAUGCGGGCAACCCGCGGUUAGACGGAAAGACCCCGUGCACCUUUACUACAACUUCGCAGUGGCAUUAGUGGCGAUAUGUGUAGGAUAGGCGGGAGACUUUGAAGCAGGGCCGCCAGGUCUUGUGGAGUCACCCUUGAAAUACCGCCUUUUUGUCCUUUGGUAUCUAACCGCGAUCCCUGAACCGGGAUCCGGGACCCUCUGUGGCGGGUAGUUUGACUGGGGCGGUCGCCUCCCAAAGAGUAACGGAGGCG